CGGCGGACGGGUGAGUAACGCGUGGGUAACCUGCCUCAUACAGGGGGAUAACAGUUGGAAACGGCUGCUAAUACCGCAUAAGACCACAGUACCGCAUGGUACAGUGAUCAAAGGAUUUAUUCGCUGAAGGAUGGCUUCGCGUCCGAUUAGGUAGUUGGUGAGGUAACGGCCCACCAAGCCUACGAUCGGUAGCCGGACUGAGAGGUUGAUCGGCCACAUUGGGACUGAGACACGGCCCAGACUCCUACGGGAGGCAGCAUG
This 261-nucleotide ribosomal RNA is filed under the name uncultured bacterium. RNAcentral describes it as "partial 16S ribosomal RNA". It matches the Rfam family "Bacterial small subunit ribosomal RNA", at positions 96 to 353 of the family's 1533-position model. The record is from RNAcentral.